RNAcentral lists this ribosomal RNA (503 nucleotides) under uncultured bacterium. Its description in RNAcentral is "partial 16S ribosomal RNA". It matches the Rfam family "Bacterial small subunit ribosomal RNA", at positions 30 to 523 of the family's 1533-position model. The record is from RNAcentral.
AUUGAACGCUGGCGGCAGGCUUAACACAUGCAAGUCGAGCGGGGUGAUGGUGCUUGCACUAUCACUUAGCGGCGGACGGGUGAGUAAUGCUUAGGAAUCUGCCUAUUAGUGGGGGACAACAUCUCGAAAGGGAUGCUAAUACCGCAUACGUCCUACGGGAGAAAGCAGGGGAUCACUUGUGACCUUGCGCUAAUAGAUGAGCCUAAGUCGGAUUAGCGAGUUGGUGGGGUAAAGGCCUACCAAGGCGACGAUCUGUAGCGGGUCUGAGAGGGUGAUCCGCCAAACUGGGACUGAGACACGGCCCAGACUCCUACGGGAGGCAGCAGUGGGGAAUAUUGGACAAUGGGGGGAACCCUGAUCCAGCCAUGCCGCGUGUGUGAAGAAGGCCUUAUGGUUGUAAAGCACUUUAAGCGAGGAGGAGGCUCUUUUGGUUAAUACCCAAGAUGAGUGGACGUUACUCGCAGAAUAAGCACCGGCUAACUCUGUGCCAGCCGCCGCCGUAA